AUACUUACCUUGCAGGGGAGAUACCAUGAUCACGAAGGUGGCUUUCCCAGGACAAGGCUUAUCCAUUGCACUCUGGAUGUGCUGACCCCUGCGAUUUCCCCAAAUGUGGGAAACUUGGCUGCAUAAUUUGUGGUAGUGGGGGACUGUGUUCUCGCUCUCCCCUU
This 164-nucleotide small nuclear RNA is filed under the name Castor canadensis (American beaver). RNAcentral's name for it is "U1 spliceosomal RNA (ENSCCNG00000015427.1)". It matches the Rfam family "U1 spliceosomal RNA". From Rfam's summary of the family: U1 is a small nuclear RNA (snRNA) component of the spliceosome (involved in pre-mRNA splicing). Its 5' end forms complementary base pairs with the 5' splice junction, thus defining the 5' donor site of an intron. There are significant differences in sequence and secondary structure between metazoan and yeast U1 snRNAs, the latter being much longer (568 nucleotides as compared to 164 nucleotides in human). The record is from Rfam by way of RNAcentral. Lineage: Eukaryota; Metazoa; Chordata; Mammalia; Rodentia; Castoridae.